This 72-nucleotide transfer RNA is filed under the name Bos taurus (domestic cattle). It matches the Rfam family "tRNA". From Rfam's summary of the family: Transfer RNA (tRNA) molecules are approximately 80 nucleotides in length. The record is from Rfam by way of RNAcentral. RNAcentral also lists the same sequence under 1 other name. Lineage: Eukaryota; Metazoa; Chordata; Mammalia; Artiodactyla; Bovidae.
UCUCUUGUAGCUCAGUCAGUAAAGAAUCUGCCUGCAAAGCAGGAGACCUGGAUUCAAUUCCUGGUUUGAGAA